CCCCUCAUAGCUCAAUUGGUAGAGCAGCUCCCUUUUAAGGAGAAGGUUCCAGGUUCGAGACCUGGUGAGGGGA
This 73-nucleotide transfer RNA is filed under the name Candidatus Sungiibacteriota bacterium. RNAcentral describes it as "tRNA-Lys". It matches the Rfam family "tRNA". From Rfam's summary of the family: Transfer RNA (tRNA) molecules are approximately 80 nucleotides in length. Their secondary structure includes four short double-helical elements and three loops (D, anti-codon, and T loops). Further hydrogen bonds mediate the characteristic L-shaped molecular structure. tRNAs have two regions of fundamental functional importance: the anti-codon, which is responsible for specific mRNA codon recognition, and the 3' end, to which the tRNAs corresponding amino acid is attached (by aminoacyl-tRNA synthetases). tRNAs cope with the degeneracy of the genetic code in two manners: having more than one tRNA (with a specific anti-codon) for a particular amino acid; and 'wobble' base-pairing, i.e. permitting non-standard base-pairing at the 3rd anti-codon position. Lineage: Bacteria; Candidatus Sungiibacteriota. The record is from RNAcentral.